This 1233-nucleotide long non-coding RNA is filed under the name Equus caballus (horse). RNAcentral's name for it is "lncRNA (ENSECAG00000045082.1)". The record is from RNAcentral. Lineage: Eukaryota; Metazoa; Chordata; Mammalia; Perissodactyla; Equidae.
GAAGCAGUAAACACAGAAAAAAACCCUCCCCCUUUUCUGCCUAAAGGCAGGAUAUAAAUUCUCCUUUUACUGGAGAGAGACUCUUAUCAGCUCCGAGAUGGCACAAGCGGAAUCUGCACACAAACUUUAUUCCAUUCGUUCCCUCCUAUAUUUACCUUCCCACGGUUUGCCGCCUUUGGAAGCCUAAAACCGCCUCCCUUUGUCCUGUCGUUUCUCUACAAAUUUGUUGGUUUUUGUUGAAGAUGCUAUACAAGCUGGAAUUCAAAGCCGCCAUUUUGAGUUAGUCUUGGUUUCUGUUUCUCCCACGUGAUGUGCGCUGCAUGCCUUAACGAACUGUUUUUCCUCCGUUAAUCUGUCUUUUUGUUAAAGACUCCCAGCUGAAAGCCUAAGAUGGAGCGAGUCAAGGAACAGAGGAACAAUCUCAAUCGCAAAGUUCUCAGAGAUGCUAAUGAGACAGUGUAGAUGACUUAUGAAUACCUGCCUCGUCGGGUCUUUCGCUGGAGGAAAGUCUUCUGAUGAGAGAUGCCGAGUAUGUGUUCUCUCCUCUAACACCCGGCUCUUCCUCCCACUCCCUCCUCCUCCUCUCCUCGGGUACGCAGAGAGUCUGUGCAAUCUGCACCGACGUCUUGAAGUUGCAGCCUGGAUACCCAUCCACACCCACACUACAACCCAAAGACUCAUGCCACCCUCGUCUCACAGUUGCCCUGGAAUUCAUGUUCUCUGAGUGACCAGCUCUUGAUGAAGACCUGCCUAAUUGUUCUACCUAGAGACUUGGACAAGAGCCUGUGAGAAAGAACUAAAGGCUUGCAAAUGUGAGCAUAAACUUAGGCCAGUGAAACACAGAGCACUUUCUCAGUCCCACCCAGACUGCAAACAUUGAUUUAGAGGUUUCCACCAAAAGCAAUAUUUUGCCUUGACCUAACAUAUUUGGCUGCACUGGCUGCACACAUAAGAUCAAGAGAGACGCCAUCUCUGAGGUGUGGUGUCUACUUGGAUGAACAUAUUCUCUUCCUAGGAUCUGUGGAUAAAGCCAACGCUUAUUAUUACUAACUGUCAGCCACUAUUCUAGGGAUGUUUUACAUGGGUUAAGUCCUUCAGUUCUUGCAACAACCCUAUAAGGUAGAUAAUAUCAUUAUCCCCAUUCUAGAGAUGAGGAAACCGAGACACAGAGAACUUGAGUAACUUGCCCAAAUUCACAAAGCAAUUAAAUUUAAUGUCUUUAAUACUUUCCAA